GAGUUUGAUCCUGGCUCAGGAUGAACGCUGGCGGCGUGCUUAACACAUGCAAGUCGAGCGAUGAAGUUUCCUUCGGGAAACGGAUUAGCGGCGGACGGGUGAGUAACACGUGGGUAACCUGCCUCAUAGAGUGGAAUAGCCUUCCGAAAGGAAGAUUAAUACCGCAUAACGUUGAAAGAUGGCAUCAUCAUUCAACCAAAGGAGUAAUCCGCUAUGAGAUGGACCCGCGGCGCAUUAGCUAGUUGGUGGGGUAACGGCCUACCAAGGCGACGAUGCGUAGCCGACCUGAGAGGGUGAUCGGCCACAUUGGGACUGAGACACGGCCCAGACUCCUACGGGAGGCAGCAGUGGGGAAUAUUGCACAAUGGGGGAAACCCUGAUGCAGCAACGCCGCGUGAGUGAUGAAGGUUUUCGGAUCGUAAAGCUCUGUCUUUGGGGAAGAUAAUGACGGUACCCAAGGAGGAAGCCACGGCUAACUACGUGCCAGCAGCCGCGGUAAUACGUAGGUGGCGAGCGUUAUCCGGAUUUACUGGGCGUAAAGGGAGCGUAGGCGGAUGAUUAAGUGGGAUGUGAAAUACCCGGGCUCAACUUGGGUGCUGCAUUCCAAACUGGUUAUCUAGAGUGCAGGAGAGGAGAGUGGAAUUCCUAGUGUAGCGGUGAAAUGCGUAGA
RNAcentral lists this ribosomal RNA (670 nucleotides) under uncultured bacterium. RNAcentral's name for it is "bacterial SSU rRNA". It matches the Rfam family "Bacterial small subunit ribosomal RNA", at positions 9 to 694 of the family's 1533-position model. The record is from RNAcentral.